UACAGAGGGGGCAAGCGUUAUUCGGAAUUAUUGGGCGUAAAGGGCGCGUACGCGGCCUGGCAAGUGGAAGGUGAAAUCCCUCGGCUUAACCGAGGAACUGCCCUCCAAACUGCUUGGCUUGAGUCCGGGAGAGGUGAGUGGAAUUCCCAGUGUAGCGGUGAAAUGCGUAGAUAUUGGGAGGAACACCAGUGGCGAAGGCGGCUCACUGGACCGGAACUGACGCUGAGGCGCGAAAGCGUGGGGAGCAAACGGG
RNAcentral lists this ribosomal RNA (253 nucleotides) under uncultured bacterium. RNAcentral's name for it is "partial 16S ribosomal RNA". It matches the Rfam family "Bacterial small subunit ribosomal RNA", at positions 524 to 776 of the family's 1533-position model. The record is from RNAcentral.